GAGAACUGUAAGACAGGUGAAAAGAUAAUGUAUUCGUCUGCCAACUGAAGAACUUGAAAACAACAGAACAACUGGUGCUUUAGAUCUGUUAUGAGGAAAAUGGAAAUUCUGAUCCUGGAAGGCAGUGCUAAUUAUAAUCCUCAGCCAUGGGAUGAGUGGUCAAGCAAAUGAAACAACAGCUGCUUGAAGAGACUUUCUUC
RNAcentral lists this long non-coding RNA (200 nucleotides) under Phasianus colchicus (ring-necked pheasant). Its description in RNAcentral is "lncRNA (ENSPCLG00000004807.1)". The record is from RNAcentral. Lineage: Eukaryota; Metazoa; Chordata; Aves; Galliformes; Phasianidae.